CAGAGAGAGUUGAAAAACUCCCUAAACCCACUGUUAACUUACCUUGAGUUGCUUCGGCAGGCCGUCCCAGGGCGGGAUGCUUGGCCUGUAAAGGCGCCUGCCGGAGGACACGCAAACUCUGUUUAUAGUUGGCUGUCUGAGUGAAAACAAAUAAAUCA
RNAcentral lists this unclassified non-coding RNA (158 nucleotides) under uncultured Sordariomycetes. RNAcentral describes it as "sequence contains ITS1". Lineage: Eukaryota; Fungi; Ascomycota; Sordariomycetes. The record is from RNAcentral.